RNAcentral lists this ribosomal RNA (377 nucleotides) under uncultured bacterium. RNAcentral's name for it is "bacterial SSU rRNA". It matches the Rfam family "Bacterial small subunit ribosomal RNA", at positions 521 to 896 of the family's 1533-position model. The record is from RNAcentral.
UAAUACGUAGGGAGCAAGCGUUGUCCGGAAUCAUUGGGCGUAAAGCGCGCGUAGGCGGCCCUGUAAGUCCGUUGUGAAAGUCAAAGGCUCAACCUUUGAAAGCCGAUGGAUACUGCAGGGCUAGAGUCCGGAAGAGGCGAGUGGAAUUCCUGGUGUAGCGGUGGAAUGCGCAGAUAUCAGGAGGAACACCAAUAGCGAAGGCAGCUCGCUGGGACGGUACUGACGCUAAGGCGCGAAAGCGUGGGGAGCGAACAGGAUUAGAUACCCUGGUAGUCCACGCCGUAAACGAUGGGCACUAGGUGUGGGAGGUGUCGACUCCUCCCGUGCCGUCGCUAACGCACUAAGUGCCCCGCCUGGGGAGUACGGCCGCAAGGCUA